This 365-nucleotide ribosomal RNA is filed under the name Holoaden luederwaldti (Luderwaldt's highland frog). Its description in RNAcentral is "partial 16S ribosomal RNA". It matches the Rfam family "Bacterial large subunit ribosomal RNA", at positions 1994 to 2515 of the family's 2925-position model. Lineage: Eukaryota; Metazoa; Chordata; Amphibia; Anura; Craugastoridae. The record is from RNAcentral.
GAAAGGCACCACGAGGAUUAAACUGUCUCCUCUUUCCAAUCAAUGAAACUAAUCUCCCCGUGAAGAAGCGGGGAUCCUCAUAUUAGACGAGAAGACCCUAUGGAGCUUAAAACAAACUACAUCCGCCACACUACUUUUUUCCCCCCCCGGACCUAACCUUGUGGCACUUUGUCUAUAAGUUUUAGGUUGGGGCGACCACGGAGAACAAAACAUCCUCCAUGCUGAAACAGACCACUCCUAAGCAAAAAGUCACAACUUUUUAAAUCAAUAAAUUGACAUCUAUUGACCCAGUAUUCUGAUCAACGAACCAAGUUACCCUAGGGAUAACAGCGCAAUCUACUUCAAGAGCCCCUAUCGACAAGUAG